This 147-nucleotide small nucleolar RNA is filed under the name Nannospalax galili (Upper Galilee mountains blind mole rat). RNAcentral's name for it is "Small nucleolar RNA SNORA31 (ENSNGAG00000006951.1)". The record is from RNAcentral. Lineage: Eukaryota; Metazoa; Chordata; Mammalia; Rodentia; Spalacidae.
GUGCAUCUAUUUGACAGACCUGAGGCAGUUACUGUCUGCUUCUAAGGUUCCCAUUACAGAUGAGAAGAAAAGUUUUCCUCUGGGACUUGUGCUUUCCUUUCUGUCUGUCUGAUUGGAGCAGCCAUGAUUGAAUAGAGGAAAACAGAG